RNAcentral lists this non-coding RNA (1216 nucleotides) under Nicotiana sylvestris (wood tobacco). RNAcentral's name for it is "Eukaryotic large subunit ribosomal RNA". It matches the Rfam family "Eukaryotic large subunit ribosomal RNA", at positions 665 to 1888 of the family's 3401-position model. The record is from Rfam by way of RNAcentral. Lineage: Eukaryota; Viridiplantae; Streptophyta; Magnoliopsida; Solanales; Solanaceae.
ACCAAGGAGUCUGACAUAUGUGUGAGUCAACGGGCGAGUAAACUCGUAAGGCGUAAGGAAGCUGAUUGGUAGGAUUCCCCUGAGGGGUGCACCCCCGACCGACCUUGAUCUUCGGUGAAGGGUUCGAGUUUGAGCAUACCUGUCGGGACCCGAAAGAUGGUGAACUAUGCCUGAGCGGGGAAAAGCCAGAGGAAACUCUGGUGUAGGCUCACAGCGAUACUGACGUGCAAAUCGUUCGUCUGACUUGGGUAUAGGGGAGAAAGACUAAUCGAACCGUCUAGUAGUUGGUUCCCUCCGAAAAUUCCCUCAGGAUAGCUGAGCACGCAUGCGAGUUCUAUCAGGUAAAGCAAAUGAUUAGAGUCUUCGGGGGCGCAACGCCCUCGACCUAUUCUCAAACUUUAAACAGGUAGGACGGCGCGACUGCUUUGUUGAGCCGUGCCAUGGAAUCAAGAGCUCAUAGUGGGCCAUUUUUGGUAAGCAGAACUGGCGAUGCAGGAUGAACCGGAAGCCGAGUUACGGUGCCAAACUAUGCGGUAACCUAGAUCCCACAAAGGGUGUUGGUCAAUUAAGACAGCAAAACGGUGGACAUGGAAGUCGAAAUCCGCUAAGGAGUGUGUAACAACUCACCUGCCGAAUCAACUAGCCCCGAAAAUGGAUGGCGCUUAAGCGCGCGACCUACACCCGGCCGUCGGGGCAAGUGCCAGGCCCCGAUGAGUAGGAGGGCGAAGCGGUUGCUGCAAAACCUUGGGUGUGAGCCUAGGUGGAGUGGUCGUCGGUGCAGAUCUUGGUGGUAGUAACAAAUAUUCAAAUGCAAACUUUGAAGGCAGAAGAGGGGAAAAGUUCCAUGUGAACGACACUUGCACAUGGGUUAGUCGAUCCUAAGGGUCGGGGGAACCAUGAUAGAUAGUGAAUUUCACGCGUACUCCGAAAGGGAAUCGGGUUAAAAUUCCUGAACCAGGACGUGGAAAUUGACGACAACGUUAGGAAGUCCGGAGACGUUAGUGGGGGCCUCGGGAAGCGUUGUCUUUUUUGUUUAACAUCCUGCCCACCUUGGAAACGACUUAGGAGGUAGGGUCCAGCGACUGGAAGAGCACCGUACGUUGCGUGGUGUCCGGUGCGCCCCCGACGGCCCUUGAAAAUCUAGAGGACCGAAUGUCGUCCAUGCUCGGUCAUACUCAUAACCGCAUCAGGUCUCUAAGGUGAACAGUCUCUGGUU